GAUGAACGCUGGCGGCGUGCCUAAUACAUGCAAGUCGAGCGAACAGACGAGGAGCUUGCUCCUCUGACGUUAGCGGCGGACGGGUGAGUAACACGUGGAUAACCUACCUAUAAGACUGGGAUAACUUCGGGAAACCGGAGCUAAUACCGGAUAAUAUAUUGAACCGCAUGGUUCAAUAGUGAAAGACCGUUUUGCUGUCACUUAUAGAUGGAUCCGCGCCGCAUUAGCUAGUUGGUAAGGUAACGGCUUACCAAGGCAACGAUGCGUAGCCGACCUGAGAGGGUGAUCGGCCACACUGGAACUGAGACACGGUCCAGACUCCUACGGGAGGCAGCAGUAGGGAAUCUUCCGCAAUGGGCGAAAGCUUGACGGAGCAACGCCGCGUGAGUGAUGAAGGUCUUCGGAUCGUAAAACUCUGUUAUUAGGGAAGAACAAAUGUGUAAGUAACUAUGCACGUCUUGACGGUACCUAAUCAGAAAGCCACGGCUAACUACGUG
RNAcentral lists this ribosomal RNA (497 nucleotides) under uncultured bacterium. RNAcentral's name for it is "partial 16S ribosomal RNA". It matches the Rfam family "Bacterial small subunit ribosomal RNA", at positions 28 to 507 of the family's 1533-position model. The record is from RNAcentral.